ACUCCUACGGGAGGCAGCAGUGGGGAAUCUUGGACAAUGGGCGCAAGCCUGAUCCAGCCAUGCCGCGUGAGUGAUGAAGGCCUUAGGGUCGUAAAGCUCUUUCGCCAGAGAUGAUAAUGACAGUAUCUGGUAAAGAAACCCCGGCUAACUCCGUGCCAGCAGCCGCGGUAAUACGGAGGGGGUUAGCGUUGUUCGGAAUUACUGGGCGUAAAGCGCACGUAGGCGGAUUAGUUAGUCAGAGGUGAAAUCCCGGGGCUCAACCCCGGAACUGCCUUUGAUACUGCUAGUCUUGAGUUCGAGAGAGGUGAGUGGAAUUCCGAGUGUAGAGGUGAAAUUCGUAGAUAUUCGGAGGAACACCAGUGGCGAAGGCGGCUCACUGGCUCGAUACUGACGCUGAGGUGCGAAAGUGUGGGGAGCAAACAGGAUUAGAUACCCUGGUAGCACAGAG
This 448-nucleotide ribosomal RNA is filed under the name uncultured bacterium. RNAcentral's name for it is "bacterial SSU rRNA". It matches the Rfam family "Bacterial small subunit ribosomal RNA", at positions 335 to 800 of the family's 1533-position model. The record is from RNAcentral.